RNAcentral lists this ribosomal RNA (348 nucleotides) under uncultured bacterium. RNAcentral describes it as "partial 16S ribosomal RNA". It matches the Rfam family "Bacterial small subunit ribosomal RNA", at positions 355 to 694 of the family's 1533-position model. The record is from RNAcentral.
UGGGGAAUUUUGGACAAUGGGGGCAACCCUGAUCCAGCCAUCCCGCGUGUGCGAUGAAGGCCUUCGGGUUGUAAAGCACUUUUGGCAGGGAAGAAACAGCCUGGGAUAAAUACCCCGGGCGACUGACGGUACCUGCAGAAUAAGCACCGGCUAACUACGUGCCAGCAGCCGCGGUAAUACGUAGGGUGCAAGCGUUAAUCGGAAUUACUGGGCGUAAAGCGUGCGCAGGCGGUUCGGAAAGAAAGGUGUGAAAUCCCAGGGNUUAACCUUGGAACUGCACUUUUAACUACCGAGCUAGAGUACGUCAGAGGGGGGUAGAAUUCCACGUGUAGCAGUGAAAUGCGUAGA